This 508-nucleotide ribosomal RNA is filed under the name uncultured bacterium. RNAcentral's name for it is "partial 16S ribosomal RNA". It matches the Rfam family "Bacterial small subunit ribosomal RNA", at positions 30 to 523 of the family's 1533-position model. The record is from RNAcentral.
AUUGAACGCUGGCGGCAUGCCUUACACAUGCAAGUCGAACGGCAGCGGGGGAGAAGCUUGCUUUUCCUGCCGGCGAGUGGCGAACGGGUGAGUAAUACAUCGGAACGUGCCCUGUAGUGGGGGAUAACUAGUCGAAAGAUUAGCUAAUACCGCAUACGACCUGAGGGUGAAAGUGGGGGACCGCAAGGCCUCAUGCUAUAGGAGCGGCCGAUGUCUGAGUAGCUAGUUGGUGGGGUAAAGGCCUACCAAGGCGACGAUCAGUAGCUGGUCUGAGAGGACGAUCAGCCACACUGGGACUGAGACACGGCCCAGACUCCUACGGGAGUCAGCAGUGGGGAAUUUUGGACAAUGGGCGAAAGCCUGAUCCAGCAAUGCCGCGUGUGUGAAGAAGGCCUUCGGGUUGUAAAGCACUUUUGUCCGGAAAGAAAUGGCUCUGGUUAAUACCUGGGGUCGAUGACGGUACCGGAAGAAUAAGGACCGGCUAACUACGUGCCAGCCGCCGCGGUAA